Molecule: unclassified non-coding RNA, 573 nt
Filed under: Aspergillus calidoustus
Lineage: Eukaryota; Fungi; Ascomycota; Eurotiomycetes; Eurotiales; Aspergillaceae
Description: sequence contains 18S rRNA gene, ITS1, 5.8S rRNA gene, ITS2, 28S rRNA gene
Rfam family: 5.8S ribosomal RNA (bases 198-351)
Source: RNAcentral
GUAACAAGGUUUCCGUAGGUGAACCUGCGGAAGGAUCAUUACCGAGUGCAGGUCUGCCCCCGGGCAGGCCUAACCUCCCACCCGUGAAUACCUGACCAACGUUGCUUCGGCGGUGCGCCCCCCCGGGGGUAGCCGCCGGAGACCACACCGAACCUCCUGUCUUUAGUGUUGUCUGAGCUUGAUAGCAAACCUAUUAAAACUUUCAACAAUGGAUCUCUUGGUUCCGGCAUCGAUGAAGAACGCAGCGAACUGCGAUAAGUAAUGUGAAUUGCAGAAUUCAGUGAAUCAUCGAGUCUUUGAACGCACAUUGCGCCCCCUGGCAUUCCGGGGGGCAUGCCUGUCCGAGCGUCAUUGCUGCCCUUCAAGCCCGGCUUGUGUGUUGGGUCGUCGUCCCCCCCGGGGGACGGGCCCGAAAGGCAGCGGCGGCACCGCGUCCGGUCCUCGAGCGUAUGGGGCUUUGUCACCCGCUCGAUUAGGGCCGGCCGGGCGCCAGCCGGCGUCUCCAACCUUCUAUUUUACCAGGUUGACCUCGGAUCAGGUAGGGAUACCCGCUGAACUUAAGCAUAUCAAUAA